Molecule: long non-coding RNA, 573 nt
Filed under: Marmota monax (woodchuck)
Lineage: Eukaryota; Metazoa; Chordata; Mammalia; Rodentia; Sciuridae
Source: RNAcentral
GUCUCACUGAAAACUGGUCCCUGUCUUUAGGCUGACUGGUUUCACUCCUCAGAGAAACCUGUAAGGCCACAAGCAACCUUCUAGGCUGCUGAGUGUUGUGGGGCUUCUAAAUCAGGCAAAGCAAGUGUGUCUUCCUGCCGUCCCCAGGCUGUUUCUGGGUAGAAGCUAGCCCAUAUGAUGCCGUCUACAAAUCAGUGAAAUUGAGUUCUGAGAAUGCACAGAGUGGUAGGGAGGGCAGGCUGGAUUGCGGGCCCUCUUAGCCUUGGCAGGGUGUGUUGGGAAGUGGGCAAUUUACCAAACUGUACGCAGGCCUUGCUGAGCUUUGUGCUCUCCAGGAAGUUUCUGUCAUUCAUCUGGCAAACUCCGGGGAAUGUGGAAGCAGUAAGUAAAGAAGAAAGGGUGGCAUCCAGCUUGCGUUCCACACCCUGGUGAGGCCUUCACCUCUGGGGGAACCAGACGUGGUUCUGGAUCCUGAGUAGCAGGAGCCCAACAAGCCCACAGACUCCGAUGGAACACCCAGAAGGCACGGCGGCCGGGAGUGACUCCUUACCUCUUACCUUGCUCUCCUUGACG